GAUUCCAUGGAGCAUAUGCUC
This 21-nucleotide microRNA is filed under the name Sarcophilus harrisii (Tasmanian devil). RNAcentral describes it as "Sha-Mir-1540_5p* (star (passenger))". The record is from RNAcentral. RNAcentral also lists the same sequence under 2 other names. Lineage: Eukaryota; Metazoa; Chordata; Mammalia; Dasyuromorphia; Dasyuridae.